This 450-nucleotide ribosomal RNA is filed under the name uncultured bacterium. RNAcentral describes it as "partial 16S ribosomal RNA". It matches the Rfam family "Bacterial small subunit ribosomal RNA", at positions 354 to 796 of the family's 1533-position model. The record is from RNAcentral.
GUGGGGAAUAUUGGACAAUGGGCGAAAGCCUGAUCCAGCCAUGCCGCGUGUGUGAAGAAGGUCUUCGGAUUGUAAAGCACUUUAAGUUGGGAGGAAGGGCAGUAAGUUAAUACCUUGCUGUUUUGACGUUACCGACAGAAUAAGCACCGGCUAACUUCGUGCCAGCAGCCGCGGUAAUACGAAGGGUGCAAGCGUUAAUCGGAAUUACUGGGCGUAAAGCGCGUGUAGGUGGUUUUGUAAGUUGGAGGUGAAAUCCCCGGGCUCAACCUGGGAACUGCCUCAAAAACUGCAUGACUAGAGUACGGUAGAGGGUAGUGGAAUUUCCUGUGUAGCGGUGAAAUGCGUAGAUAUAGGAAGGAACACCAGUGGCGAAGGCGACUACCUGGACUGAUACUGACACUGAGGUGCGAAAGCGUGGGGAGCAAACAGGAUUAGAAACCCCGGUAGUCC